Molecule: ribosomal RNA, 164 nt
Filed under: uncultured bacterium
Lineage: Bacteria
Description: partial 16S rRNA
Rfam family: Bacterial small subunit ribosomal RNA
Source: RNAcentral
UAGGGAAUCUUCCACAAUGGACGAAAGUCUGAUGGAGCAACGCCGCGUGAGUGAAGAAGGGUUUCGGCUCGUAAAAUUCUGUUGUUAAAGAAGAACAUAUCUGAGAGUAACUGUUCAGGUAUUGACGGUAUUUAACCAGAAAGCCACGGCUAACUACGUGCCAG